UGAUCAACAUAACGUUGUCUACAGUACUCCAUGCAAUAACUGCGAAGGAGUCUAUAUCGGAAUGACUAGCAACCAACUCAAAAAGCGAAUGAGCGGACACAAAUCAGAUGUAAACAAGAUUGUUAACACACCAACAGACAUAACUCAUGCAAAAACAGCUCUCACACAACACAUGAUCGAACACAACCACACCUUCAAUCUCGACGGCACAAAAAUAGUAGAUCGCACUUUCCGAUCAACCGCCCUACCAAUAUUAGAAAUGUGCCAUAUACAGAACACAUCUAAUACCAUAAAUUUCCGCACUGACGUAGAUGGCCUCAAUACAGCCUACGCUGGCAUAUUGCAUACAAUCAAAAAAGCCAACUCUCGCAGAGAGCAACCUAGCAAUAGCACACACAGCACACACAAUUAAUGUUAGAUCAAGUUCUACGGAUAAACUUUAUCCAACUACACGAAAGCUCUACCUUGUUUCACCCGCCAUCUUUGAACCAACCGUUGAAAGUCAUAUUGUAAUAGCACAGUCCAGGUCGUUGAUAAUAGGUGUGUCCAGUACAGUGUCCCAAAACCAAAAAUUAAAUAACUAUUUCAAAACCUAGGCAUACAAGAAGCACGCAAUGAUACUCUCGGCAUUACUAAAUGUAACGAAGAACGACAGACAGUUUUACCCUUGAAAAAGGCCAAAUACACAAGGCCGAAACGUCGGGCAAUACAAAACCAGUCGUUUUGAAUUUCCCUAGACUGAGAAAGCCAGUUCGAAAACAUAAAUCAAAUUCCAGUCGAAAUUCACGAA
This is a long non-coding RNA of Aedes albopictus (Asian tiger mosquito), 790 nucleotides long. RefSeq lists it as uncharacterized. The transcript is spliced from 3 exons. NCBI's taxonomy places the organism in Eukaryota, Metazoa, Arthropoda, Insecta, Diptera, Culicidae. The record is from RefSeq and is a predicted model, not a curated record.